Molecule: long non-coding RNA, 240 nt
Filed under: Pelobates cultripes (western spadefoot toad)
Lineage: Eukaryota; Metazoa; Chordata; Amphibia; Anura; Pelobatidae
Source: RNAcentral
GCAUCACCUGCACAAACUGGUAUCCCUAUACACUACAUACCAUAAGCACACAUAUUAGAUCCUCUACAAUAACACAUCCCCUACACACUCCACUCCCUGUGAGCGAACUCAUGGGUGGGUGGAACAUAUAAGUGGACUUAUGAGUGGGCCUUGUGGGCAUACUCACCGUCAGGCCCUGGGGCCCAGACCUUGAGCUGUGUAAGGGGCCACCAAAAAAUGGAGCUGCUUCCAAUUCUCCCA